Long non-coding RNA from Colias croceus (clouded yellow), 274 nucleotides. RefSeq lists it as uncharacterized. The transcript has 2 exons. The record is from RefSeq and is a predicted model, not a curated record. NCBI's taxonomy places the organism in Eukaryota, Metazoa, Arthropoda, Insecta, Lepidoptera, Pieridae.
CUAAGGAAUCCUAUGGACAGGGCAUAAUGUUCUAUACAAACAACUGAUUAUACAAAUAUCAUGCAUUUCGAUACCGAAAUAAUAAAACGAAUACUGUCUCUUUCUAACUAAUGAAUAUUCUGCUAAGUGAAAAUAUAUGACUAUACGUCAGUCAGUGCUAAUUCUAUACCGUUUGACAUUUGAAGUUAGCUCAAAUACCUACUGUGGCCGGGCGCCAUUUUAUGUUCUCGUUAUUAUGAUGUACAUGCUCUGUCAUUGCUCCGUAGUAAACAUU